Molecule: ribosomal RNA, 422 nt
Filed under: uncultured bacterium
Lineage: Bacteria
Description: bacterial SSU rRNA
Rfam family: Bacterial small subunit ribosomal RNA
Source: RNAcentral
UAAGGAAUAUUGGACAAUGGACGCAAGUCUGAUCCAGCCAUGCCGCGUGAAGGAUGAAUGCCCUCUGGGUUGUAAACUUCUUUUAUAGGGGAAGAAAGAUACUUUUUUUAAGGUAGUUGACGGUACCCUAUGAAUAAGCACCGGCUAACUCCGUGCCAGCAGCCGCGGUAAUACGGAGGGUGCAAGCGUUAUCCGGAUUUACUGGGUUUAAAGGGUGCGUAGGCGGAUAUGUAAGUCAGUGGUGAAAUCAACGGGCUCAACCUGUUAACUGCCAUUGAUACUGUGUAUCUUGAAUAUGAGAGAGGUAGGCGGAAUGUUGCAUGUAGCGGUGAAAUGCUUAGAUAUGCUACGGAACACCGAUUGCGAAGGCAGCUUACUAUGUCUUAAUUGACGCUGAGGCACGAAAGCGUGGGUAGCGAACA